Molecule: ribosomal RNA, 312 nt
Filed under: Triticum aestivum (bread wheat)
Lineage: Eukaryota; Viridiplantae; Streptophyta; Magnoliopsida; Poales; Poaceae
Description: partial small subunit ribosomal RNA
Source: RNAcentral
AUGGUUGCAUACAUACAAAGUUCACAUAACUUGUGUCAACUAGCAACUUGUAUUCAAUAUGCCAUUGGUUUCAGGGACAUACAUUUGCUAGUAAUGCUAAACCUAUGGGGUAGUGCUUGGUCUGGCUUGUCUGGAAGGAAAACUGAGGAAGGGCCGGCAGCGACUGGAAGCAGAGGAGCGUCGGGGCGAGAUGGAGAUGGAGAGGUUACUCGUGACAGACUUGAGCCCGUCCAGGGAGAAUGCGUGCAGUCCCGGCGGAGGAGGCAGGCGACGGAGCAGGGCUGGGCGGAGGUGGAUGUGGCGGCGGCGUAA